CCCACCCGGGCCUUCUCCUUUAGCCUUCUGUAGGGGAAGGCACCGAGCAGGGCAGCUUGGGGCCAAGGGGGCACUGCCUGGGCAGAGGAGUUGGGGCAGGCGCAUCACACCUGGCUGCCAACCACAAGAUUCAACUUGGCCGGGGCAGACACGCUGUGUGGGAAAAUUAUCUUUUUUAUAGACAGAGACAGAGGCAGAGAGAGAGACAGAGACAGAGAGACAAGAGACAUAAAGACAGACACAGAGGCACAGAGGCAGAGAGGCAGAGGCAGAGACAGAGAAGCAGAGAGACAAAGGCACAGAGGCAGAGAGACACAGACAGAGGCAGAGACAGAGAAGCAGAGAGACAAAGACACAGAGGCAGAGAGACACGGACAGAAGCAGAGAGAAAGAGACAGAGGCUCAGAGAAACAGAGAGGCUGAGAGGCGGAGAGGCAGGGGUCGAAUGGCAAAGUGGACAUGUGCCCUGGGUGAGGGGGGUACAGAGGCACCUUGUCAAAUUCUUAUUCUUGAAACUUCUCUGUGGGUUUGAAAUGACUUCCCCCAAAGCUAAACUUUUCUUUGAACGUUAAAGCAAUACAAUUCGUAAGCGACAACAAAAACAGAUGACAUGAAAAAUACCACAAGUUAACAGAGAGGACCUCACAGGGCUCAGGUGUGGGCAGAAAGGUGCCCCAGAGGGUGUGGGGGACUUCGGGGUGGUGGAGGAGGCUGAGGACUGUGUGUGUGCCCCUGGCUGAGGGCCGAGGGCGGGGCUGGGUGCCAGGCCCCCGGGGACACCUUGGUUAGGGUUAGGGUUAGGGUUAGGGCCAGGGAUCCAAGGCUGGAAAGUUGCCUUUCAGGGACUGCAGGAGGGAGGCCCGGUGCCCUGGCCAUGCUGGGCGCUGGGUGGAGCUAGGAUGAGGCAGGUCACGGGGCUUCAUUCUCUCCGCAGGGCUGGACUCAGAGGGGGCUUCCCCCUGACCUUCACCCCCUCACGCACUCGAUCAAGGGGAAGCCAGGAGUGGGGUCCCAGAGGGGGACACAGAGUUCCCCCAUGAAUGUCCACCUGCUGGACCCCCUGUGUGGUCCUCAGGGGUUCCCUGGGCCUCCACCGAGGGGCCCCCGGAUCAGGGCUGGGCUUCACCCUCUCUCUCCAGCUGCACCUCACCCCUGACCUGUGCAGCCCUGUGUCCUUUUUGUUCCCCUGGCACCGGCUGUGCCUGGGCCCAGACCCACCUUUGCAGGCCGGUGCCUGGCUCCAGCCAUCCUUGGAAAGCUGAGUCCGGCGCUUGCCAGGGCCUCACCACCCCCACUCCUCCGGCUCCGGCUCUCCCCAGACAGCCCUGGAGCCCAGGGUUAGAGCUGCCUCUGUGGCUCAGCCCCCACUCCACCCCAGUGGGCUGCCCAGCCUUAGUUUACCCAGAUGUACAAUGAACAUGGAGAUGAGAGCGCCUGCCUCACUGGACCACCAGGUAGGCAGGGACCCAGCUGGCACCUCCUGCCUCCCUAAACUCCUCUCCUAUGUGCCCCCCAGAGUCAGCCCGACUCUCCCCCAGCCCCAGCAAGGCCUGGCUCGGCGCCCUGGACCACCCAGCUGCUGAAUAUCACACCAGGACCACCAAGCCUGCCUCUGCCCCAGGCCUGGAAGCUUCUCCCCACUCUCCCUGUGGCCAUCUCCUUCACACCCUUCAGUUCCAGCAUGGUCACCUCCUCCGUGAAGCCCUCCGUGAGUCCC
This 1717-nucleotide long non-coding RNA is filed under the name Homo sapiens (human). RNAcentral describes it as "HSALNT0171086". Lineage: Eukaryota; Metazoa; Chordata; Mammalia; Primates; Hominidae. The record is from RNAcentral.